This 440-nucleotide ribosomal RNA is filed under the name uncultured bacterium. RNAcentral describes it as "bacterial SSU rRNA". It matches the Rfam family "Bacterial small subunit ribosomal RNA", at positions 338 to 771 of the family's 1533-position model. The record is from RNAcentral.
CCUACGGGAGGCAGCAGUGGGGAAUCUUGCGCAAUGGGCGAAAGCCUGACGCAGCGACGCCGCGUGAGCGAUGAAGGCCUUCGGGUUGUAAAGCUCUGUGGGGAGGGAAGAAUAAGGAUCGGCUAAUACCCGGUCUGAUGACGGUACCUCCUUAGCAAGCACCGGCUAACUCUGUGCCAGCAGCCGCGGUAAUACAGAGGGUGCAAACGUUGUUCGGAAUUACUGGGCGUAAAGCGCGUGUAGGCGGCUACGCAAGUCGGAUGUGAAAUCCCGCAGCUCAACUGUGGAAGUGCACUCGAUACUGCGAAGCUAGAGUCCUGGAGAGGAAGAUGGAAUGCUUGGUGUAGAGGUGAAAUUCGUAGAUAUCAAGCGGAACACCGGUGGCGAAGGCGGUCUUCUGGACAGUGACUGACGCUGAGACGCGAAAGCGUGGGGAGCAA